CAUCCCACCUACUCUCUAUGAACGCCACAGCUACAGUCAGAAAGUCAACUUUCAGCUGCUUUUUCCUUACAUCAAAUCACGACAACCGUAGGAAAAUAUUGAUUUCGUAACCAUUCCCCUAUAUGGAUAAGUAAUUGUACUGCUUUCGAGCACAAAGUGUAUUUUUCAUCUACAACGAAACAGGGAUUUCAACGUUAAAAAGGAAUUUGCUGCAGACGGUUGGUAAAACGUUAUUCAGUCGUGCGGUUCAAAUGUCAGAGGAAUUUCUGUGUGAGAAAGUCCCUGCGCGGAUCAACAACCGCAAGAUUCUUGGCCUGUCCAUGAUAGAGUCUGGGAGUGAGUUUGGCCGCUGGAACAGCCCAUGGAAACGUUCUUAUUAAAUGUGGCGAGGCGGAGAAGGGGAGUCGUCGAGAGUUCACCCAGAGCUCUGCCAUUAACUUCCUCAGGCCGUUCAGGAACUUUCUAGAAGGAGACUUCAAAACCAUCCUGGUGAGAAUCAACGAGAAGAUCCGGUCUUCCUCCUGAACGACACAUCGCACCACAUGGUCCCUUCAUCGGGUCCAGGAACAUGCUUUGUUAGAUUGCUAACAGGGAUUAGGGAAAGUAUGUUUUAACAGAGAUGAUUGUAAUGAAGAUAUGAUUGGCAUACAGAAUUGAGUGAGGCUUGUCCCUUCACUGUAGCUUCUCUGGUCUUGUAAACCUAACAUCGUUGGCCAGGCUGACCCAAAGUGUUGUCGUGACGUUGUAUUGAUUAAUGUGACGACUGCUGUUCAUCGAAUGGUUAACUGUUUAUAAUUACGUGAUUAAAUGAAUCAGGUAAUUAGUAACCUGGGGCACCAUGGGAAA
This is a long non-coding RNA of Salmo salar (Atlantic salmon), 846 nucleotides long. RefSeq lists it as uncharacterized. Lineage: Eukaryota; Metazoa; Chordata; Actinopteri; Salmoniformes; Salmonidae. The record is from RefSeq and is a predicted model, not a curated record.